This is a non-coding RNA of Caenorhabditis elegans, 162 nucleotides long. NCBI's taxonomy places the organism in Eukaryota, Metazoa, Nematoda, Chromadorea, Rhabditida, Rhabditidae. The record is from Ensembl.
GCCCUGACUGCCUCGAGGCCAAUUCCCAGGACAGUCAUAAGAAGGAAUUAUAUAGUUCCGCCGGAGCCCGUGAGCCCUCCUUUGGCCGCACGCUCCGUUUUUUCGCCCAUUUCUCCUGCCCUUCCUUUCAAUUUUUUAUUUCGAAGGUUGGAAGUGAAAGUG